This 359-nucleotide ribosomal RNA is filed under the name uncultured Pseudomonas sp. Its description in RNAcentral is "bacterial SSU rRNA". It matches the Rfam family "Bacterial small subunit ribosomal RNA", at positions 1029 to 1382 of the family's 1533-position model. Lineage: Bacteria; Pseudomonadati; Pseudomonadota; Gammaproteobacteria; Pseudomonadales; Pseudomonadaceae. The record is from RNAcentral.
CUGACACAGGUGCUGCAUGGCUGUCGUCAGCUCGUGUCGUGAGAUGUUGGGUUAAGUCCGUAACGAGCGCAACCCUUGUCCUUAGUUACCAGCACGUUAUGGUGGGCGACUCUAAGGAGGACUGCCGGUGACAAACCGGAGGAAGGUGGGGGAGUGACGUCAAGUCAUCAUGGCCCUUACGGCCUGGGCUACACACGUGCUACAAUGGUCGGUACAAAGGGUUGGCCAAGCCGCGAGGUGGAGCUAAUCCCAUAAAACCGAAUCGUAGUCCGGAUCGCAGUCUGCAACUCGACUGCGUGAAGUCGGAAUCGCUAGUAAUCGUGAAUCAGAAUGUCACGGUGAAUACGUUCCCGGGCCUU